Girardinichthys multiradiatus is the source of this 1535-nucleotide long non-coding RNA. RefSeq lists it as uncharacterized. The record is from RefSeq and is a predicted model, not a curated record. Lineage: Eukaryota; Metazoa; Chordata; Actinopteri; Cyprinodontiformes; Goodeidae. The transcript has 6 exons.
CCCAAACUGAACGACAUUGCUUUAAUACAGAGCAUCCAAUAGGUGGCAGCGAAUUAUCGGCCAAUAAUGAACUCUAUAGAAGAAUGCGAAACGUGGCUAAUGGCAACGUGAGUAAAGACAGAAUAGGUCAAGCAGCCGCAAUUUUAAAUAGUAUUUUAUCAUCACCGGAUGCAACAAGCAGUGUGACCUUCGCCUUAAACGAAGGAGCUACUAUGACCGCCCGCAGUGAUUCGGUUGAGACAGAAUUAGCAUCUCUGUUUCGUGCUGGAGCAGCUAGCCGAAGUUCGGCGGUGUCAACAGUAAAUCAAGGACCAAGUUCGGUGGCUCCGGUAGCCCCACGUUUCCAAGCCCAGCAGUGUUUUGGACCUUGGACUACUAACAGGAGAAGAAGGGGGUUUUUCAAGAAGUCCUUCUGGACUGAAGACUGGAAACAGAACAUCUCUGUUUAACAUAUCUGAGCCAGCAAAUUCAGUCCCAAUGCAACUUCCUAUUAUUCUUGUUCUGCUGCUGCAGCUGUCUUUUCUUACUUCCUUUACAUUAGGAGUCAGUGAAGGCGAUGUCCUACAAUUUUUUAUGGAUGCACUACAUUGUGUAGAACUAAUUCAAAGGGAAAGAACAGGUGACAUAAGUAGCCAGGAUAGGCUUUACAGAGAACUUGCUGAUCACACUCAAACUUUAUCUGCAAUCCUGUCAGUGUCCACAGUUUAAUGAGCUAAGAUACCAUGCAUAUAGAACAAUGAUUGAAGACUUGUAUACCUGUUUUCUGUCCAUUUUAGAAGAAUAUGAUGCUAUGCUAGGAUCUCAUGAAUUGACCCCUAGAUGUCUGCUUCCCCCAAUAAAAUGGACUGGUUUUCCAAGGUGCCCACGAUAUGACAUCACAUCAUUGCAAAUUUCUCACUGCAUUUCAAUUGGAAUGAACUGGCAGCAGAUUGCAUCUGCCUUUGGUAUUAGCCGUCGAACUCUCUACAGACAUAGACAACACUUGGGAAUGCAACCCUUACAAUAUACUGUGCUAACAGACCAAGAGUUAACAAGAGUUGUGACUGACAUUCUACAAAGGACACCAAAUGCUGGUGAAACUUAUGUGCUUGGGAGCCUUGCAUCCAGAGAAAUACAUGUUCAGCAUUGGCGUGUCAGACAGUGUCUACAGGAAGUUGAUCCAAUUGGACGGUCAUUAAGCAGGAGGCGUACCAUACGCCGACGGGUUUAUAAUGUUCAGACACCAAAUCAACAAUGAAGCUACACCUGGCCUGACUCUGUGUCUACCUGUGACACCUUUCUGGAGAGGGAAAUCGUCCAAACUUCUGCUGGCCAAAACAACGGAGGGUUCCAUGGAUGAAGAUCUUUUAAAGCGGAGCCUUGAAGGAUGAUUGGCCGGGGAGAAAUGCAGACUUUUGCGGAGGGUGUCAGUGACUGCCUGCUGGACAUGUAGUUAGUUUUACCUAUGUUUGAGUAGGCCGUAACAUAACAGAAACAAUUGCUUGAAAUGUGUCCUUAUGUUUAAUGAACGACAUUUGAUUUAGAUUUAAUGAAAU